UACGUAGGGUGCGAGCGUUAAUCGGAAUUACUGGGCGUAAAGCGUGCGCAGGCGGUUGUGCAAGACAGGUGUGAAAUCCCCGGGCUUAACCUGGGAAUUGCAUUUGUGACUGCAUGGCUAGAGUGUGUCAGAGGGGGGUAGAAUUCCACGUGUAGCAGUGAAAUGCGUAGAUAUGUGGAGGAAUACCGAUGGCGAAGGCAGCCCCCUGGGAUAACACUGACGCUCAUGCACGAAAGCGUGGGGAGCAAACAGG
Molecule: ribosomal RNA, 253 nt
Filed under: uncultured bacterium
Lineage: Bacteria
Description: partial 16S ribosomal RNA
Rfam family: Bacterial small subunit ribosomal RNA
Source: RNAcentral